This 253-nucleotide ribosomal RNA is filed under the name uncultured bacterium. RNAcentral describes it as "partial 16S ribosomal RNA". It matches the Rfam family "Bacterial small subunit ribosomal RNA", at positions 524 to 776 of the family's 1533-position model. The record is from RNAcentral.
UACAGAGGGUGCUAGCGUUACUCGGAGUCACUGGGCGUAAAGGGCGCGUAGGCGGUCUUACAAGUCAGAUGUGAAAUCCCCGGGCUUAACCUGGGAACUGCAUCUUAAACUGUGAGGCUGGAGUACUGUAGAGGACAGUGGAAUUUCCGGUGUAGCGGUGAAAUGCGUAGAGAUCGGAAGGAACACCCGUGGCGAAGGCGACUGUCUGGACAGAUACUGACGCUGAGGCGCGAGAGCGUGGGGAGCAAACAGG